AGAGUUUGAUCAUGGCUCAGGAUGAACGCUAGCUACAGGCUUAACACAUGCAAGUCGAGGGGCAGCAUGUUGGUUGCUUGCAACCAACGAUGGCGACCGGCGCACGGGUGAGUAACGCGUAUCCAACCUACCCUUGUCCAUCGGAUAACCCGUCGAAAGGCGGCCUAACACGAUAUGCGGUUCACAGCAGGCAUCUAACGUGAACGAAAUGUGAAGGAGAAGGAUGGGGAUGCGUCUGAUUAGCUUGUUGGCGGGGUAACGGCCCACCAAGGCGACGAUCAGGUAGGGGUUCUGAGAGGAAGGUCCCCCANAUUGGAACUGAGACACGGUCCAAACUCCGUACGGGAGCA
This 350-nucleotide ribosomal RNA is filed under the name uncultured bacterium. RNAcentral describes it as "bacterial SSU rRNA". It matches the Rfam family "Bacterial small subunit ribosomal RNA", at positions 8 to 349 of the family's 1533-position model. The record is from RNAcentral.